Molecule: long non-coding RNA, 230 nt
Filed under: Mytilus galloprovincialis (Mediterranean mussel)
Lineage: Eukaryota; Metazoa; Mollusca; Bivalvia; Mytilida; Mytilidae
Source: RNAcentral
GGAGGUUGGUAUAUUGUAUAGACAUUCGGCUAUUGUUAAAGACCGUAAAUUAACCUCUGGAUGUUUCUUUUUAUCACAAAGUUGCUGUCCCUUGACGUGUGUCUGCCUUCAUUUACUAGAAUUAAUAAAUAUGAGGUGUACAGCUAAUGAGACGACAACUUUUUUCUACAAACAAGUGAAAGAAAUAAACAGGUAGAUGUGGAAUAUACAUCAAUAAGAAUCAACCGAAC